Molecule: long non-coding RNA, 340 nt
Filed under: Gossypium raimondii (Peruvian cotton)
Lineage: Eukaryota; Viridiplantae; Streptophyta; Magnoliopsida; Malvales; Malvaceae
Description: long non-coding RNA (GRAI_LNC007230)
Source: RNAcentral
UGGGUGAUAAUUUUUGCUUCAGUUGUCUGAGAGAGUUUGGAUGGGUUUGGAAGUCUGUAUAAGUGGAUGAGAGAGUAGGUAGUUGGGAUUGGGUUGAUAGGAGAUCAUGCCUUAAUUUGAGGGAUUUUGGUUUCUUUUUAUUUUAUUUUAUUUUUAUUUUUUCUUUCUUUUCUCUCUCUUCCUAAGGAAAAAUUUUGACGUCAGUUUCUCCAUUCUUUCUGGCGUUUUCUUCUUGCUCUCCUUCUCUACACCUUUGAUUCUUUCUCUCGUUUUCCUUCCUUUCAAAUCUGUUUACAUCUUUUGUUCUUCACGUUGCACUCUGGAACUUGGCAUUUUUAUC